AAGACAGGCGUGAGCUCCUGCAAUGGGGCCCAGAAUGGCGGGGGAGCGUUUCCCGUGGGACAAGACAGGCGUGAGCUCCUGCAAAGGGGCCCAGAAUCGUGGGGAAGCGUUUCCUGUGGGACAAGACAGGCGUGAGCUCCUGCAAAGGGGCCCAGAAUGGUGGGGAAGCAGAACUUCUGCCUCCAACUCACUUUCUCACCGUGCAACUGCGGAUCCAGAGGAAUCUCUGCAUGUGAGGCUCUGCCAGGUUGGGGAGGAGUGUGCGCUCAACAUCUCUCUCCACUUUUUACCAUUGCAACAGCUUUUCUUAGCUCUGGGGUCCAGGAGUGUGUCUCAGCCUUAGUCCUGAAUUCUGGGACAUGCACGAUGGUAUUCUUGCCUGUGGAGAGCUGCUAGUUGAAUUUCUGUGGUGGUGAGUGAUGUCAGUGAAGUCCCAUUCUGGUUUCUCUCUGAUGUCACACUGAGAGCACAGUUUUGGUGAGAAGAUUAUCUUUGUGUAAAAGCAAAGAAGAGAGGAAAGAACCUGCGUUUCUCCUCUGCACUAUCCGCUGCGUUUUUCUGUAGAAUUGGGUGUGCCAUUUGCAAGAGCUGUGUGUGUGCAGCAGAGCAGGCAGCCAACCAAUCCUUGCGGUUCAGUGUGAGUUGGGAGGGAGAAAGCGCAAACCACUAAGUGUAGACAACACGCAGGGAGUUCAUUUGGGAAGUUUAGCGAGUGGUGUCCAAAGCAGAGUUGCUCCCUCAGCACUAUGGGCAGUUUGGGCCACACAAUUCUUUGUUGUUGGGGAGAGAAGGCUGUCCUGUGCCUUGUAGGAGGUUUGGCAGCAUCCCUGGCCUGGACACCCCAUGACAGUGGCAACCCCUCCCCUAGCGGUGACAAACAUAAAGGUCUCUAGAUGUUGCUAAAUGUCCUCUGGUGGGGGUGGGAAGGGCAUUGCCCUGUGUGAGGACCGCUGGUAGAGACUGUUGCAGGGUUCAGAAAAGAGAUUUUUGUUUUUCAGUUGGGACAUACAUGAUCAGUCUUGGGGAAGGAAGCAGAAGCAAUGGUGGAAUAGGACAAAGAUAAAGGAAAGAGGUGGAAAGUGAUGAACACAGACCGCGAUGACCCGGUGUGGGGUGAUAUGGGCGAGGACAGCAUCCAGCGAAGAGGUCCUGGCUCCUGACUGCAAUUUGGUGGCUCUACUGUACCCUGUGCAACGGGUAUAGAGUCCAAGCCUGGAGGGAGAGCGACUGACAGCCAUGGUCUGGUCACACGCCUGCCUGAGAGCUGCACGGGAGCCGGCGAGGAAAAGCCCUUGCUGCUUCCAGUGUAAGGUCUGCCUGGAUGAUCAAAACAGAUGGGAAGGAGCCAUGGUGGGGCAAUGAUCCUGUUCUGUUGCCUCCUGGAGAUUCAAGCAUUAUAUAUGGAGAGCUAUCAUCUCUACCCCUCCUCCCGGUUUACUCUCAUGGUUAUUGGGGAACAAGUGGUACUCAAGAUGGAUGAAGGACUUAAAUCCAAGACAAGAAACUAUAAAAAUUCUAAAAGACAACAUUGGAAAAACUCUUCUAGACAUUGGCUUAGGCAAGGAUUUCACGAACAAGAACCCAUAAGCAAACGCAAUAAGAACAAAAAUAAAUAGCUGGGACCUAAUCAAACUAAAGAGCUUUUGCACAGCAAAAGGAACAGUCAGCAGAGUAAACAGACAACACACAGAGUGGGAGAAAAUCUUCACAAUCUAUACAUCUGACAAAGGACUGAUAUCCAGAAUCUACAAUGGACUCAAACAAAUUAGCAAGAAACAAAUAAUCCCAUCAAAAAGUGGGCUAAGGACAUGAAUAGACUUUUAGGUUACUUUUAGGUAUUUGUGUGUGCAGACCUCUUGGUGUCAAGGCUAAACUGUUCCUUUCUCUGACACAUGGGAAAUUGAUGCACAAUACCUUGCAGUGUAUAAUUCCAGGCCCCUAGGCACUGGAGACUGGGUUAUCUUUUCACUCAACUGACAGUUGAUACAUUGUUUGCACUGAAAAAUCUGGCUUUGUUGAACCACACCAGUUUAUGUUUUUAAUUCCAAAUCUUACCUUGUUAUGAACUAUUUUUUUGUCCUUUCCUCUAGAGAAAUGCUAAUGCUGCUUGCUUACAUGGAAAGUAAAGUUAAGGAGUUGGUGUUGACAUUUUGGCUUGCUGUCACAGGCAAAAAAGAAUAGUGCUGUUUUUGUGUGUUUAAUUUUCUUUCACUUUCCCCACUCUGUGUAUUGGAGGAUGCCUUUAGCAAUAAGUAGUCCUUAUCCAGGUCACUCACUCAUUAACCGCCAACCACUGACAGUAAUGUCUUUACUAGAUAUUUUGCUUCUUUUGAUUAAUUUGUCUCUAUUUCCUUUGUUCUAAAGCCUAUAGUGAGUAAUCAUAUUUGGAGUAAUAGCAGAGCUCCCUGCUGUGUUUUCAUUUGCUUAAAUCAAGACUUAGCUGCUGUAUUGAGGAACCAAGACUGAGAUGUGGGGCUAGGAGGGCCUAGGGUCUGUCAGGCACUCUUCAGUGACUUGAGGUGCUGAAUGACUCACACUGUACUGGGAGAUGACCACCUGUGUGCAUCCAACACAGUCACAGAUAGUGCCAUUGAGCCACCAGGAGCAGCCACAGACCAUCAGUGGUUGUGCUUUGGAAUACGCAAUUUUGUGUUUCUGGUGAGCUGUAAUCUUUUCUUUUCCCAUAGAAUUAUUUUUCAUUGAAUUAUGCUAUUAAAACUCAUCUUUGGGUUUCUUGUAACGUCAUUGCCGAGAACGUUAUUUUUGCAUUUCACAGUGAUUUCUUGAGGAGGAAGUAAGAAGUAAUUGUUUUCUGGACUCACUGUCUGAAAAACUUGCACUUUACUGAAGCGAUUGUUUUGUUUACACUAAGUAACAAUAUGAGUUUUGUUAGCUUUUUGGAUGGACUACAAAGCAUAAAACCAACUUUGUUCCUCAUCUCUGGCAAAGAUGGAGGGUUGUUGGCUUGUGUUGUGUGAUGAGUCUUAUACCUGGCUCUGUCUGCUCUUGCCUUUUGCCUUACAUUUCAAAGACCUCACUUUUUUCUUUUCUUUUUUUAAAAAAUAUUUUAUCACAUGAUUUUCUAUACAUUUUAAUAAAAUUUCUUUUUUGUAAAAAAAGCAAAGCAUAAAUAAAAUAGGGUAGCCAUUUCUUCUAAGGUUAUGUUGAAUCUAACCCAAACUCUUAUCAGAGAAAACUCUGCUUUAGAUGUAGCCUAAAGCAGGAAGCAACAAACCUGUAUACAGCCAAAGUAUCAUCUCAAGGGCCUGCAUUCAAAUCUCACACAUGUGGCUUGAAAGUGAUCUCUUUUGCCCUUAUUUCAAGGCCUAAUCUUAGGUUACAUAGUACUUAAAGAAGCUUCAGUAUGCAAUUUCAAAGCCUGUAGUAGAUGUAAAAUGAGAAAAUUAGAAAUAAGGAGAAAAGCUGCUACAUGAGGACACUGACAGCAAGGAAAGGGAGAGAAAAACUCACAAAGUAAGUGGAAAAAUAGACCAAUGCAAAUAACCCCACAUAGUUUAACAGACCUCAUCAUAUCUAUUGUGUACAUGUUUGUAUGACAUAGAUUAUAUCUAUUAUAUGUAAUCCAGUGUUCAUAGUGUUGACUUAGAAAUUAUCAACCAAAUUCAAAGCUUUUAGGCUUUGAAAAUUGUUUGAAAAGAUUUUCACCCAAAAUAUUUAAAUUAUUAAAAAAAAUUAUUGUUGAUUAAAGUUGUAAUCCUCAAUUAAUUAGAAGUUUUGGCUAUCCAGAGACCUUAUAUUCCAAAGACUUUAGAGAGUUGUUUGUUAGAUCACAUAAAUUAUUACCAAUAUCCUACAUUUAAGCUUCUAAUUUACGUAAAUUGUGAGCAAAAUUGAGAGCCACACAAAUAUUCAAUCUCUGAAGCUCUUAUGGCAGCAUUGAUCAAAUAGGUUAGAGAACACAUGGAUACAGCUUUAUUGCCUUCUAGUUUUACUGCAAACGUGUUAUUUAAUAGUAUGCAAAUGAUUGGCUAGAUGUACAGACUGCCAGGGCCUUCAUAGCAAACAGGUUUUGUGUUUACCCUAGCAUACAAAAAUGCUUCAUCUACGAUGUAUGCUGUAACUGUGUGUAUUGUCUACCCUAGCAUGCAAAAAUGCUUCAUCUAAAAUGUAUGCUAUAACUAUGUGUAUUAUAUUAUCUAUAAUUAUAUUUCUCCUUGGUUUAAUAUUAGAUAUUUUCAGGUACAAGAAAUGUAUGCACAUUAUAGAUUCAAUGCAUGUAGGUUAUAUGUGUAAAUAUUUAUUGAUAAGAGGCAUUAAACCCCUGCCUUCUAUGCUGGAUAAACUCCUGAACUUAGCCUCCAAAACACCACAGUAGCCUCCCUGGUAAGCACAGGGCUCUUUCUCUACCCUUUUGUGUCUCCCACGCUCCCACUUGUCUACAAGAGCUGAGUGUAGACCAAGAGCAAUAAAGUUCAUUUCCCCAAAAUAAGGCGUAGCAUUCAGGUUUUGUGAUACCUGAUUGGUUUACAUUGUUUACAGGUGGGGCCUCGAAGGGGUAAAAAUCAGAAGCUUCUUAUUCUGAGCGCAAGGGCAAGAUCAUUGAGCAGACAUUGACCUCCCUUCAGACAUUUCUUGGGAGGAACAGAAUGAGAAUUUCAGGGGCCAGUGCCUGCACCCUACUAGCUGUGGCAGCCUGGUGCUCAUCUACUUCUCCAGCUUGGGAAGGCCUAGGUUAACCCCAGUCUUUGGAGGCAUUGUUAUUCCUCUUCUCUCCCUGCUUCCCCGUGUUUGUGUUCUGGGCCCGGUGUAACACUGAGGUUCAGAAUUGCUUUCAAGAGAGGAGCCCAUUUCUGUGUCUAUGCAAGGCUGGACAAUUUCUCCAAGUGGUUCAGCCUGUGGGGGUUAACGGGGCAAAAGCAUCUCAGCUAGUAAUAAACACUGCUUCGCCUCUUGCUUUUUUAUUUUUAUUUUUGCAAAACUUCUCUGUAGGUGUGUAUUUCUCUAGAGGAUUUCAAAAAUUCUCUGUAGGUGCGUAUUUCUGUAGAGGAAGGAGUGGUGACUGGGCCAGGGUGAAUGGAUUAUUUGAUCUAUAUUAUCUUGAAUUUUAUAUCUUUUAUUUUAAAAUUUGGGUGUUUUUUGAAGUAGGAAAUCAAUGCACAUGGCUGAAUAUCUAAAAAGUGUAAAAGUAUACAUUGAAAAGUCUUCCUCCUAAUCUCGUGAUUGUCUUCGUUUCAGUCCCCAUGGCCACAUCAUGAGGCUACUGAUGUCAUUAGUUUCUUUUGCGUUCUUCUAGGGUUUCUGUUGGCAUAUGCAAGCAACAAUAAAUGUAUACCUUUAUGUUUUCUCUUUUUACAGCAAGGACAGUUUAUUAAACACACUGUUUUAAACCUUAUUUUUUCUCUAAAUAAUAUUUCAUAUAAGUCAGUAUGUAGACUUUAUGUAUUUUUAAAAUGAAGACAUAGCGUUCCACUGAACUUAGACAAUAAUUUACUUAACUAGUCCAAGAUUGAAGAAUAAAAUUAUUUUGAAUCUUUUGUUAAUAGUUAAUAGCUUUGAUGAGUACACUUAUGCAUACAUUAUUUUACACAUGUUCAAGUAUGUUGUAUAAACCCCAAAGUGGGAAUGCUCUGUCAAAUAUUACAGGUAUUUGCAACUUUGAUAGAUACUAAUUGCCCUCGAUAGAGGUAGUAAAAGCUUACACUCCACAGCCUUACUGAUGAUAUAUAUUAUAAAACUUUUAGUUCUUGCCAAUCUAAACGUGAAAAAUGGUAUUUCAUGGUAAUUUAAAUGCUUUUCUCGUUUUAUAACUGAGGUUGACAUCUAUCAAAAAAUUAUUUGAAUUUUUCUGAGAACUAUUAAUCUUUGAAUCCUUUUCUGUUGUUUAUCUUUUCCUUCUUCAUUUCUAAAAGUUCCUAUACAGAGAGAUUCACCCGUUAUCUGUGAUAUGAUUACAAAUGUCUGCCCUCCAAUUUGUUAUAUGUCUUUAGAUCCAAAUACCUUAUUUUUUGCCAUGUAGAAAUUUUUAAUUUGUAUGUGAUAAAAUGUUAAUACUUUAUGGAUUCUGGAUUUUCAGAAAUAAAAAGGUCAUCCUCACUUCCAGGUUUUAAAGAAAUUCUUUAAUGUUAUUUUAUGUUUUUGUAUGG
RNAcentral lists this long non-coding RNA (6104 nucleotides) under Homo sapiens (human). RNAcentral describes it as "HSALNT0082810". Lineage: Eukaryota; Metazoa; Chordata; Mammalia; Primates; Hominidae. The record is from RNAcentral.